GUGUCGGUAGCUCAGCGGCAGAGUGGGGACGGAAUCCCCGUGAGGUGAGUUCGACUCUCACCCGACACA
This 69-nucleotide transfer RNA is filed under the name Ruminiclostridium sp. RNAcentral's name for it is "tRNA-Ser". Lineage: Bacteria; Bacillati; Bacillota; Clostridia; Eubacteriales; Oscillospiraceae. The record is from RNAcentral.